RNAcentral lists this ribosomal RNA (447 nucleotides) under uncultured bacterium. RNAcentral's name for it is "bacterial SSU rRNA". It matches the Rfam family "Bacterial small subunit ribosomal RNA", at positions 29 to 521 of the family's 1533-position model. The record is from RNAcentral.
AACGAACGCUGGCGGCAUGCCUAACACAUGCAAGUCGAACGAGACCUUCGGGUCUAGUGGCGCACGGGUGCGUAACGCGUGGGAAUCUGCCCUUGGGUUCGGAAUAACAGUUAGAAAUGACUGCUAAUACCGGAUAAUGUCUUCGGACCAACGAUUUAUCGCCCAGGGAUGAGCCCGCGUAGGAUUAGCUAGUUGGUGAGGUAAAGGCUCACCAAGGCGACGAUCCUUAGCUGGUCUGAGAGGAUGAUCAGCCACACUGGGACUGAGACACGGCCCAGACUCCUACGGGAGGCAGCAGUGGGGAAUAUUGGACAAUGGGCGAAAGCCUGAUCCAGCAAUGCCGCGUGAGUGAUGAAGGCCUUAGGGUUGUAAAGCUCUUUUACCCGGGAUGAUAAUGACAGUACCGGGAGAAUAAGCCCCGGCUAACUCCGUGCCAGCAGCCGCGGU